RNAcentral lists this ribosomal RNA (492 nucleotides) under uncultured bacterium. RNAcentral's name for it is "partial 16S ribosomal RNA". It matches the Rfam family "Bacterial small subunit ribosomal RNA", at positions 28 to 507 of the family's 1533-position model. The record is from RNAcentral.
GAUGAACGCUAGCUACAGGCUUAACACAUGCAAGUCGAGGGGAAACGACAUCGAAAGCUUGCUUUUGAUGGGCGUCGACCGGCGCACGGGUGAGUAACGCGUAUCCAACCUGCCCAUCGCUUGGGAAUAACCUUGCGAAAGUAAGACUAAUACCCAAUGAUAUCCCACGAAGGCAUCGGAAUGGGAUUAAAGAUUUAUCGGUGAUGGAUGGGGAUGCGUCUGAUUAGCUUGUUGGCGGGGUAACGGCCCACCAAGGCAACGAUCAGUAGGGGUUCUGAGAGGAAGGUCCCCCACAUUGGAACUGAGACACGGUCCAAACUCCUACGGGAGGCAGCAGUGAGGAAUAUUGGUCAAUGGGCGAGAGCCUGUACCAGCCAAGUAGCGUGCAGGAAGACGGCCCUAUGGGUUGUAAACUGCUUUUAUAAGGGAAUAAAGUGGGUCACGUGUGACUUUUUGCAUGUACCUUAUGAAUAAGGACCGGCUAAUUCCGUG